CCUACGGGGGGCAGCAGUGGGGAAUCUUGCGCAAUGGGCGAAAGCCUGAUGCAGCGACGCCGCGUGAGUGAUGAAGGGCUUCGGAUCGUAAACCUCUGUCAGCAGGGAAGAACGAUCGAUGUAGUAAUCAGCAGUGAAUUGACGGUACCUGCAUAGGAAGCACCGGCUAACUCCGUGCCAGCAGCCGCGGUAAUACGGAGGGGGCGAGCGUUAAUCGGAAUUACUGGGCGUAAAGCGAGCGGAGGCGGUAUGUUAAGUCAAAGGUGAAAGCCCUGGGCUCAACGUGGGAACUGCAUUAGAAACUGGCAAACUUGAGUGUGGUAGAGGAGAGUGGAAUUCCAGGUGUAGGAGUGAAAUCCGUAGAGAUCUGGAGGAACAUCAGUGGCGAAGGCGACUAUCUGGUACAUAACUGACGCUGAGGAGCGAAAGCGUGGGUAGCAAACAGGAUUAGAUACCCCGGUAGUC
This 465-nucleotide ribosomal RNA is filed under the name uncultured bacterium. Its description in RNAcentral is "partial 16S ribosomal RNA". It matches the Rfam family "Bacterial small subunit ribosomal RNA", at positions 338 to 795 of the family's 1533-position model. The record is from RNAcentral.